UGGGUAAUAUUGCACAAUGGGCGCAAGCCUGAUGCAGCCAUGCCGCGUGUAUGAAGAAGGCCUUCGGGUUGUAAAGUACUUUCAGCGGGGAGGAAGGCGAUAAGGUUAAUAACCUUGUCGAUUGACGUUACCCGCAGAAGAAGCACCGGCUAACUCCGUGCCAGCAGCCGCGGUAAUACGGAGGGUGCAAGCGUUAAUCGGAAUUACUGGGCGUAAAGCGCACGCAGGCGGUCUGUCAAGUCGGAUGUGAAAUCCCCGGGCUCAACCUGGGAACUGCAUUCGAAACUGGCAGGCUAGAGUCUUGUAGAGGGGGGUAGAAUUCCAGGUGUAGCGGUGAAAUGCGUAGAGAUCUGGAGGAAUACCGGUGGCGAAGGCGGCCCCCUGGACAAAGACUGACGCUCAGGUGCGAAAGCGUGGGGAGCAAACA
RNAcentral lists this ribosomal RNA (427 nucleotides) under uncultured bacterium. RNAcentral describes it as "partial 16S ribosomal RNA". It matches the Rfam family "Bacterial small subunit ribosomal RNA", at positions 355 to 774 of the family's 1533-position model. The record is from RNAcentral.